UUGCCUACGGGACGCAGCAGUCGGGAAUAUUGCGCAAUGGAGGAAACUCUGACGCAGUGACGCCGCGUAUAGGACGAAGGUCUUCGGAUUGUAAACUAUUGUCGUUAGGGAAGAGAAAGGACAGUACCUAAGGAGGAAGCUCCGGCUAACUACGUGCCAGCAGCCGCGGUAAUACGUAGGGGGCAAGCGUUAUCCGGAUUUACUGGGUGUAAAGGGAGCGUAGACGGCAUAGCAAGUCUGAAGUGAAAGCCCGUGGCUCAACCGCGGAACUGCUUUGGAAA
RNAcentral lists this ribosomal RNA (281 nucleotides) under uncultured bacterium. Its description in RNAcentral is "partial 16S ribosomal RNA". It matches the Rfam family "Bacterial small subunit ribosomal RNA", at positions 335 to 632 of the family's 1533-position model. The record is from RNAcentral.